RNAcentral lists this long non-coding RNA (324 nucleotides) under Brassica napus (rape). RNAcentral's name for it is "long non-coding RNA (BNAP_LNC024165)". Lineage: Eukaryota; Viridiplantae; Streptophyta; Magnoliopsida; Brassicales; Brassicaceae. The record is from RNAcentral.
AGAGACUGGCUCGUAUGGGUAUGAAAGCCAAGGGUGCUUGAGAGCCUCUGAUGCAGAAAGACGCUUUAUUGGGUUUAUUUCUAGAAGAUGACCUACAAAGUAUGUGAAUCAUUGGUCUCCCAUUGGUAGCCUAUGUCUCAUUGAUGUUCUUUUAGGUAUCAGGUACUCCAAUUUGUUGCUUUCCUGUAAAACAUUUUUUUGAAAAAUUUGAGAAAGAAUGUUCUUAUUAGCAGCAUAUAUGCUUCUUCCAUUCAACACUAAGAGCUGCAGAAGUUUGAAACAAAUCACGUAAGUCAUCACUCAUCAGUCAUCAGAUACACAAAU